This 1125-nucleotide long non-coding RNA is filed under the name Piliocolobus tephrosceles (Ugandan red Colobus). Its description in RNAcentral is "lncRNA (ENSPTEG00000024204.1)". The record is from RNAcentral. Lineage: Eukaryota; Metazoa; Chordata; Mammalia; Primates; Cercopithecidae.
AUGUGUAGUUCAAAUUUUAAUAUUAACAAAUCGUUCCAUAAAAAAACAUCUAUUAACAAAGAUAACAAUAAUCAUAAUAGUAAUAUUGAUGAGGAAGAAGAGUUUUUUUCAUAUGAAUAUAUUAAGGAUAGUUCAAAAGAAAAUAGAAGUUUAUCUUUACAAUUUAACAAAGUUAAUGAAUCAGAGCAUUUAAAGAAUCUUUUUAAAAAUAUGGAAAUGAAAUAUAAAAUAGGUACAAAUACCAAUGAAGCGGCAGACAUAUAUACAAAUGAAAUCGACUUACAAAUUAAACAACAAAAAGAAAAAAAAGAAGGGGAAAAAAAAGAAGGGGAAAAAAAAGAAGGAGAAAAAAAAGAAGGAGAAAAAAAAGAAGGAGAAAAAAAAGAAGGGGAAAAAAAAGAAGGGGAAAAAAAAGAAGGGGGAAAAAAAAAAGGAGAAAAAAAAGAAGGAGAAAAAAAAGAAGGGGAAAAAAAAGAAGGAGAAAAAAAAGAAGGAGAAAAAAAAGAAGGGGAAAAAAAAAAAGGAGAAAAAAAAGAAGGGGAAAAAAAAAAAGGAGAAAAAGAGGAAGGAGAAAAAAAAGAAGGGGAAAAAAAAAAAAGAGAAAAAGAGAAAGAAGAAAAAGAGGAAGUGCAAAAAGAGAAAGAAGAAAAUAGAACUUUUAAAGAUAACUUAGAAAAUGAAAAUAAAACUGAAUUGAAUACAAAAGAAAUAGAUUUAGUAGAUAAUAUCGGUAUAAAACAAAAAUUUCGACAUAGGUUUCAUAAAAUAAAAAAUAAAAUAAAACAGAACUUUAAUAUAUAUGAUAAUAAAAAAAUUAUAGUUGAUAAAAACCAUUGUAUGGAAAAAGAGAAUGCAAUAAAAAACUCCUUUUUAAAAACUAAAAACAAUAUUUCAACAUAUAAUUAUGAAAAUAGUAGUAGUUCAUCCAAACUUUCCGAAUCUAAUGAAUAUAAAAAUAAAAAUAUUAAAGAAAUAUGUAUAUUGAUUAAUUUUUCUUAUAACAAUAUGUUUGAUAUAUUUAAUUAUCCUGAUAAUUUUAAUGAUAAAAAAAAAAAAAAAAAUUUACAUUUAUUCACAAAAUUUUUUAUUCUUUACAUAUAUUUUUUAAUUCUUUCUCUACUUUAA